RNAcentral lists this ribosomal RNA (253 nucleotides) under uncultured bacterium. RNAcentral describes it as "partial 16S ribosomal RNA". It matches the Rfam family "Bacterial small subunit ribosomal RNA", at positions 524 to 776 of the family's 1533-position model. The record is from RNAcentral.
UACGUAGGGUGCGAGCGUUAAUCGGAAUUACUGGGCGUAAAGCGCAUGUAGGCGGGUCGUUAAGUUGGGGGUGAAAUCCCGAGGCUCAACCUCGGAACUGCCUUCAAAACUGGCGACCUGGAGCAAGAUAGAGGCAAGUGGAAUUGCGAGUGUAGAGGUGAAAUUCGUAGAUAUUCGCAGGAACACCAGUGGCGAAGGCGACUUGCUGGAUCUUUGCUGACGCUGAGAUGCGAAAGCGUGGGGAGCAAACAGG